Molecule: ribosomal RNA, 651 nt
Filed under: Paraphysomonas bandaiensis
Lineage: Eukaryota; Chrysophyceae; Chromulinales; Paraphysomonadaceae
Description: partial Bacterial large subunit ribosomal RNA
Rfam family: Bacterial large subunit ribosomal RNA
Source: RNAcentral
AUGACCGAUAGCGGAUUAGUACCGUGAGGGAAUGGUGAAAAGUACCCCGGGAGGGGAGUGAAAUAGAACAUGAAACCUUAAGCUUACAAGCAGUAGGAGGACGACUUAUCGUUUGACUGCGUGCCUGUUGAAGAAUGAGCCGGCGACUUAUAAAUUGUGGCUUGAUUAAAGACUAAUAAAUUUUUCUGUAGUCAAAGCGAAAGCGAGUUUGAAUCAAAGCGUAUUAGUCACUGUUUAUAGACUCGAACCCGAGUGAUCUAACCAUGACCAGAGUGAAGCUUAGGUAAAACUGAGUGGAGGCUCGAACUGACCGAUGUUGAAAAAUCGGCAGAUGAGUUGUGGUUAGCGGAGAAAUUCCAAUCGAACUCGGAGCUAGCUAGUUCUCCCCGAAAUGUGUUGAGGCGCAGCGAUGAUUGAAGGAUUGUUGAUAGGGGUAAAGCACUGUUUCGGUGCGGGCUGUGAAAACGGUACCAAAUCGAUGCAAACUCAGAAUACUAUCCAUAUUUUCCAAUCAUUAGUGAGACUGUGGGGGAUAAGCUUCAUAGUCGAGAGGGAAACAACCCAGACCACCAACUAAGGUCCCAAAGCGCGUGCUAAGUGGGAAAGGAUGUGGAGUUGCUCUGACAACCAGGAGGUUGGCUUAGAAGCAGC